AAAUUUUAUUUUAGUUUAAAUAAUUAAUGUAUAUAUUUAUAGUAUAUGUAAAUUUUUGUUUUUAUGUUUUUAUUAUUAAAUAUAUUAAAAAUAUUAUUUUAUUCACAGUAUUUAAUUUUAUAUAUUAAAGAAAUUUAGAUUUAGAAAUUUAUAAUAAUAUUAACAAAAUUUGUGCCAGCAGUUGCGGUUAUUCAUAUAAUGUAAUUAUUUAUUUUUAAUUAGUAAUUAAUUGUAUUAAUAAUAUAAUUAGAAUAUUAGUUUAUUAGGUGAAAUUAUAAAUUAAUAAUAAUUUAUAUUAUGUUAAAUGAAGUUAUUAAAUUUUAUCUUAAACUAGGAUUAGAUACCCUAUUAUAAAAUUGUAAAUUAGAAGUAUUAAAGUAUUAUAAGUUAUAGUCUUUAAAUUUAAAAAAUUUGGCGGUAUUUUAGUCUUUUUAGAGGAACCUGUUUUGUAAUUGAUAAUCCACGAUUAGAUAAACUUAUUUUGUAAAUUUGUAUAUCGUUGUAGUUGAAUAUUUUAGUAGAUAAUUUAAUAUUCAUAAUAUUUUAUUUUAAAAAGUAAAUCAAAUCAAGGUGCAGUUGAUAAAUAAGAAUGUAAUGGGUUACAAUAAAAAUAUUUAUGGAUUUAUAAUUUUAAACUUAUAAUCAAAUUGGAUUUAAUUGUAAUUAAAUUUAUAUAAAUUUAAUGAUUUUAGCUCUAAAGUAUGUACAUAUUGCCCGUCGCUCUCACUUAAAAUGAGAUAAGUCGUAACAAAGUAAAUGUACUGGAAAGUGUAUUUAGAUAAAU
This 784-nucleotide non-coding RNA is filed under the name Staphylinidae sp. BMNH 1274254. Lineage: Eukaryota; Metazoa; Arthropoda; Insecta; Coleoptera; Staphylinidae. The record is from RNAcentral.